RNAcentral lists this ribosomal RNA (460 nucleotides) under uncultured bacterium. Its description in RNAcentral is "partial 16S ribosomal RNA". It matches the Rfam family "Bacterial small subunit ribosomal RNA", at positions 338 to 795 of the family's 1533-position model. The record is from RNAcentral.
CCUACGGGUGGCAGCAGUGAGGAAUAUUGGUCAAUGGACGAGAGUCUGAACCAGCCAAGUAGCGUGAAGGAUGACUGCCCUAUGGGUUGUAAACUUCUUUUAUAAAGGAAUAAAACGAGGCACGUGUGCCUUUUUGCAUGUACUUUAUGAAUAAGGAUCGGCUAACUCCGUGCCAGCAGCCGCGGUAAUACGGAGGAUCCGAGCGUUAUCCGGAUUUAUUGGGUUUAAAGGGAGCGUAGAUGGGUUGUUAAGUCAGUUGUGAAAUUUUGCGGCUCAACCGUAAAAUUGCAAUUGAUACUGGCAGUCUUGAGUACAGGUGGGGUAGGCGGAAUUCGUGGUGUAGCGGUGAAAUGCUUAGAUAUCACGAAGAACCCCGAUUGCGAAGGCAGCUUACUAAACUGUGACUGACAUUGAUGCUCGAAAGUGUGGGUAUCAAACAGGAUUAGAUACCCCAGUAGUC